UUUAAUGUCCACACCAUGCUGAAUACACCGGUUCUAGUCCGAUCACCGAAGUUAAGCAGCAUCGGGCGUGGUUAGUACCUGGAUGGGUGAAGGCCUGGGAACACCGCAUGCUGUUGGCA
Molecule: ribosomal RNA, 119 nt
Filed under: Cimex lectularius (bed bug)
Lineage: Eukaryota; Metazoa; Arthropoda; Insecta; Hemiptera; Cimicidae
Source: RNAcentral